GACGAACGCUGGCGGCGCGCCUAACACAUGCAAGUCGAACGAGCGAGAGAGAGCUUGCUUUCUCGAGCGAGUGGCGAACGGGUGAGUAACGCGUGAGGAACCUGCCUCAAAGAGGGGGACAACAGUUGGAAACGACUGCUAAUACCGCAUAAGCCCACGGCUCGGCAUCGAGCAGGGGGAAAAGGAGCAAUCCGCUUUGAGAUGGCCUCGCGUCCGAUUAGCUAGUUGGUGGGGUAACGGCCCACCAAGGCGACGAUCGGUAGCCGGACUGAGAGGUUGAACGGCCACAUUGGGACUGAGACACGGCCCAGACUCCUACGGGAGGCAGCAGUGGGGAAUAUUGCACAAUGGGGGAAACCCUGAUGCAGCGACGCCGCGUGGAGGAAGAAGGUCUUCGGAUUGUAAACUCCUGUUGUUGGGGAAGAUAAUGACGGUACCCAACGAGGAAGUGACGGCUAACUACGUG
This 466-nucleotide ribosomal RNA is filed under the name uncultured bacterium. Its description in RNAcentral is "partial 16S ribosomal RNA". It matches the Rfam family "Bacterial small subunit ribosomal RNA", at positions 28 to 507 of the family's 1533-position model. The record is from RNAcentral.